This 20-nucleotide microRNA is filed under the name Macaca mulatta (Rhesus monkey). RNAcentral describes it as "mml-miR-760". Its record names the gene mml-miR-760. The record is from miRBase by way of RNAcentral. RNAcentral also lists the same sequence under 7 other names. Lineage: Eukaryota; Metazoa; Chordata; Mammalia; Primates; Cercopithecidae.
CGGCUCUGGGUCUGUGGGGA